Molecule: long non-coding RNA, 550 nt
Filed under: Marmota monax (woodchuck)
Lineage: Eukaryota; Metazoa; Chordata; Mammalia; Rodentia; Sciuridae
Source: RNAcentral
UUUGGGCCAGCAGGGGAAAUGGGCUGAUGUGCUGCCUCCUGGCAGUCCUCAUAUGUGCCACAAACCCAACUCAGCAGGACCCCAGCUGCUGCUAUUAUUCAUUCCCUCUUCUCUGGGGGCUCCUCCAAAGCACACUGUCCUUUGGGGAAACAUCAUCACAGCCAGAUUCUCUUCAGAAAGCACAGGGCAAAUAGAAGAAAAGAAAAAAUUCUAAGAAAUUUAAAAUUCAAAACAGAAGGCUAUUAAUUGGUUUUAUGCUAACCUUUAUAGCCUUAAUCUUCGAAUUUUCUCCCUCCUUUAAGAACAAUCACUUCUGGGCUGAUUUCUUCAAAUGAGAUAUGAUUUCCUCCGAGCCAUUACUGUGAUCUCCAUCAAAGACAGCAAAGAAAGUAAUUAGUACUCCACACCAAACCAACCUCAAAUUUGACAGAAACUGCAUUUGUCCUUUGCAAAGCGGAAAAUGAAGCACCUUCUAAUUCUUAGAAUUUUCUCAUGAGUUGUUGUCACUGGGCAGAAAUUUCUGGAGUUGUUGCUUCUUAUAGACUUUCUC